GAUUGAACGCUGGCGGUAUGCUUAACACAUGCAAGUCGAACGGAAACGAUGUUAGCUUGCUAACAGGCGUCGAGUGGCGGACGGGUGAGUAACGCGUAGGAAUCUGCCUGAUAGUGGGGGAUAGCCCGGAGAAAUCCGGAUUAAUACCGCAUAAUCUACACGUAGUAAAGGAGGCCUCUAUUUAUAAGCUUUCGCUAUCAGAUGAGCCUGCGUAAGAUUAGCUUGUUGGUGAGGUAAAAGCUCACCAAGGCGACGAUCUUUAGCUGGUCUGAGAGGAUGAUCAGCCACAUCGGGACUGAGACACGGCCCGAACUCCUACGGGAGGCAGCAGUGGGGAAUAUUGGACAAUGGGGGCAACCCUGAUCCAGCAAUACCGCGUGUGUGAAGAAGGCCUGAGGGUUGUAAAGCACUUUCAAUUGUGAAGAAAAGUUAACGGUUAAUAACCGUUAGCCUUGACGUUAACUUUAGAAGAAGCACCGGCUAACUCCGUGCCAGCAGCCGCGGUAAUACGGAGGGUGCAAGCGUUUAAUCGGAAUUACUGGGCGUAAAGCGUGCGUAGGCGGGUUUAUUAAGUCAGAUGUGAAAGCCCCCGGGCUUUAACCUGGGAACUGCAUUUUGAAACUGGUCAACUAGAGUAUGGUAGAGGAAAGUGGAAUUUUCUGGUGUAGCGGUGAAAUGCGUAGAUAUCAGAAGGAAACAUCAAUGGCGAAGGCAGCUUUCUGGACCAAUACUGACGCUGAGGUACGAAAGCGUGGGGUAGCAAACAGGAUUAGAUACCCUGGUAGUCCACGCCGUAAACGAUGAUAACUAGCCGUUGGGGGGAUUUACCCUUUAGUGGCGAAGCUAACGCGUUAAGUUAUCCGCCUGGGGAGUACGGCCGCAAGGUUAAAACUCAAAGGAAUUGACGGGGACCCGCACAAGCGGUGGAGCAUGUGGUUUAAUUCGAUGCAACGCGAAGAACCUUACCUGGUCUUGACAUCCUGCGAACUUUCUAGAAAUAGAUUGGUGCCUUCGGGAACGCAGUGACAGGUGCUGCAUGGCUGUCGUCAGCUCGUGUCGUGAGAUGUUGGGUUAAGUCCCGUAACGAGCGCAACCCCUAUCCUUAUUUGCCAGCACGUCAUGGUGGGAACUAUAAGGAGACUGCCGGUGAUAAACCGGAGGAAGGCGGGGACGACGUCAAGUCAUCAUGGCCCUUACGACCAGGGCUACACACGUGCUACAAUGGGAAGGACAAAGAGCCGCGAAGCCGCGAGGUGUAGCUAAUCUCAGAAACCUUUUCGUAGUCCGGAUUGGAGUCUGCAACUCGACUCCAUGAAGUCGGAAUCGCUAGUAAUCGUAGAUCAGAAUGCUACGGUGAAUACGUUCCCGGGUCUUGUACACACCGCC
Molecule: ribosomal RNA, 1386 nt
Filed under: uncultured Gammaproteobacteria bacterium
Lineage: Bacteria; Pseudomonadati; Pseudomonadota; Gammaproteobacteria
Description: bacterial SSU rRNA
Rfam family: Bacterial small subunit ribosomal RNA
Source: RNAcentral